GCCUAUCACAGCAAUGCCCCAGUCCUUGGUACCAACUUCUGUCUUAGUUAGGGUUUUACUGCUGUGACCAGACACAUGACCAAUGCAAGUCUUAUAAAGGACAACAUUUAAUUGGGACUGUUACAGGUUCAGAGGUUUCAGUCCAUUAUCAUCGAGGCAGGAGCGUGGCAGCGUCCAGGUCCAGGUAGGCAUGGUUCAGGAGGAGCUGAGAGUUCUACAUCUUCAUCUGAAGGCUGCUAGCGGAAUACUGAGUUCUGGGCAGCUAGGAUGAGGGUCUUAAAGCCCACACCCACAGUGACACACCUACCAACAGGGCCACACCGUCUAAUAGUGCUACUCCCUGGGCCAAGCAUAUACAAACCAUCACAACUACCUUACCAGUUGUUCUGUCUGGUGGCGUGGUCCACUGUCACACAUUUGGAUAACUAUACAGAGCAUUUCUACCGACUUUAUAUUGGAUUGGAUUCCAAGGGCACAGGACAACAGAAUAUGGAAUCAACGUGUGCAUGAGAAAGUUGCCUUAUAAUAUUAGUAACAACACAAAAUGGCAGGCUGGCCAGGUAACAGUUACCUAGGCCUUAACAUUCCAUCUAGGCCUAAAUAUUUUACCCAGACCUUAACAGUUGUGAGGUUUGUUUUGCAGGCCCUGACAGACUACAGGGCGGAGCUCCGGGACGACCCAAUCAUCAGCACACAUUUGGCCAAGUUGUACGAUAACUUACUGGAACAGAAUCUGAUCCGGGUCAUUGAACCUUUC
Molecule: long non-coding RNA, 757 nt
Filed under: Rattus norvegicus (Norway rat)
Lineage: Eukaryota; Metazoa; Chordata; Mammalia; Rodentia; Muridae
Description: long non-coding RNA NONRATT004655
Source: RNAcentral